GGGGAAUAUUGGGCAAUGGGCGCAAGCCUGACCCAGCAACGCCGCGUGAGGGAAGAAGGUCUUCGGAUUGUAAACCUCUGUCCUAUGUGACGAAGGAAGUGACGGUAGCAUAGGAGGAAGCCCCGGCUAACUACGUGCCAGCAGCCGCGGUAAUACGUAGGGGGCGAGCGUUGUCCGGAAUUACUGGGCGUAAAGGGUGCGUAGGUGGCACUUUAAGUUGGAUGUGAAAUCCCCGUGCUUAACAUGGGAGCUGCAUCCAAUACUGGAGAGCUAGAGUGCAGGAGAGGUAAGCGGAAUUCCUAGUGUAGCGGUGAAAUGCGUAGAUAUUAGGAGGAACACCAGUGGCGAAGGCGGCUUACUGGACUGUAACUGACACUGAGGCACGAAAGCGUGGGGAGCAAAC
RNAcentral lists this ribosomal RNA (403 nucleotides) under uncultured bacterium. RNAcentral describes it as "bacterial SSU rRNA". It matches the Rfam family "Bacterial small subunit ribosomal RNA", at positions 356 to 773 of the family's 1533-position model. The record is from RNAcentral.